AGCAAGAGGAAAUCACUCAACAAUUUUGAAGAAACUCUAGCUCAAUGCGUAGCAUGACAUUAAGGAAACUGGAGCUGGCUUCAGAAUGGCGAAGACUGGAGUUGCUGUGGGUCUGAGCGCAUGAACUCCACAUGAAGCAACAGGAACUUGCAGAUUUCCUUCUAGGUGGAUUUAAAGAAUGCUAUUCACAUGUUUCCACACUUCAGACACCAAAUUAACCAAAAGAGAAUUAGAGAAGGGAAGUAUUGAUUACUAAGGCUGGAAAGUUGGAAUCGACCGAAGCAUUUUGGGGAGAUUCCGUGAUGUUUGAAAUUGUUUCCAUAGCUCUGUGUUUUAAAAGAUGACUCAAGUUAACGGCAACCAUCUAGGGUAAAAUCAAAUCCUCAUAAAAUGGAAGCAUUUUUCUGCAAGCGCUUGUUUCAACGGAUCAAGAAAACAGCCAGUCAAAAUAUUUGUACGACUUAAACGUGCAUUUUGUCCUUGGUCACUGGAAUGUUGUUCUGGAUAUGUAAGCAUGCAAAUAUGCCACAUAAAGUAAUUGCUUUCUAAUAGCAAACAUCUGUUUUUAAACAAGAUUUAUGACAAGGUUAUCCCAAAUAGAAUAAAUAAAGCUAUGCAUAUUUGAAUUUGAAAA
Long non-coding RNA from Carcharodon carcharias (great white shark), 634 nucleotides. RefSeq lists it as uncharacterized. The record is from RefSeq and is a predicted model, not a curated record. Lineage: Eukaryota; Metazoa; Chordata; Chondrichthyes; Lamniformes; Lamnidae. The transcript is spliced from 3 exons.